RNAcentral lists this ribosomal RNA (466 nucleotides) under Salmonella enterica. RNAcentral's name for it is "bacterial SSU rRNA". It matches the Rfam family "Bacterial small subunit ribosomal RNA", at positions 1056 to 1522 of the family's 1533-position model. The record is from RNAcentral. Lineage: Bacteria; Pseudomonadati; Pseudomonadota; Gammaproteobacteria; Enterobacterales; Enterobacteriaceae.
CAGCUCGUGUUGUGAAAUGUUGGGUUAAGUCCCGCAACGAGCGCAACCCUUAUCCUUUGUUGCCAGCGGUUAGGCCGGGAACUCAAAGGAGACUGCCAGUGAUAAACUGGAGGAAGGUGGGGAUGACGUCAAGUCAUCAUGGCCCUUACGACCAGGGCUACACACGUGCUACAAUGGCGCAUACAAAGAGAAGCGACCUCGCGAGAGCAAGCGGACCUCAUAAAGUGCGUCGUAGUCCGGAUUGGAGUCUGCAACUCGACUCCAUGAAGUCGGAAUCGCUAGUAAUCGUGGAUCAGAAUGCCACGGUGAAUACGUUCCCGGGCCUUGUACACACCGCCCGUCACACCAUGGGAGUGGGUUGCAAAAGAAGUAGGUAGCUUAACCUUCGGGAGGGCGCUUACCACUUUGUGAUUCAUGACUGGGGUGAAGUCGUAACAAGGUAACCGUAGGGGAACCUGCGGUUGGA